Molecule: ribosomal RNA, 497 nt
Filed under: uncultured bacterium
Lineage: Bacteria
Description: partial 16S ribosomal RNA
Rfam family: Bacterial small subunit ribosomal RNA
Source: RNAcentral
GACGAACGCUGGCGGCGUGCCUAAUACAUGCAAGUUGAGCGCUGAAGGUUGGUACUUGUACCAACUGGAUGAGCAGCGAACGGGUGAGUAACGCGUGGGGAAUCUGCCUUUGAGCGGGGGACAACAUUUGGAAACGAAUGCUAAUACCGCAUAAAAACUUUAAACACAAGUUUUAAGUUUGAAAGAUGCAAUUGCAUCACUCAAAGAUGAUCCCGCGUUGUAUUAGCUAGUUGGUGAGGUAAAGGCUCACCAAGGCGAUGAUACAUAGCCGACCUGAGAGGGUGAUCGGCCACAUUGGGACUGAGACACGGCCCAAACUCCUACGGGAGGCAGCAGUAGGGAAUCUUCGGCAAUGGACGAAAGGCUGACCGAGCAACGCCGCGUGAGUGAAGAAGGUUUUCGGAUCGUAAAACUCUGUUGGUAGAGAAGAACGUUGGUGAGAGUGGAAAGCUCAUCAAGUGACGGUAACUACACAGAAAGGGACGGCUAACUACGUG